RNAcentral lists this ribosomal RNA (490 nucleotides) under uncultured bacterium. Its description in RNAcentral is "partial 16S ribosomal RNA". It matches the Rfam family "Bacterial small subunit ribosomal RNA", at positions 30 to 507 of the family's 1533-position model. The record is from RNAcentral.
AUUGAACGCUUGCGGCAGGCCUAACACAUGCCAGUCGAACGGUAACAGGAAGAAGCUUGCUUCUUUGCUGACGAGUGGCGGACGGGUGAGUAAUGUCUGGGAAACUGCCUGAUGGAGGGGGAUAACUACUGGAAACGGUAGCUAAUACCGCAUAACGUCGCAAGACCAAAGAGGGGGACCUUCGGGCCUCUUGCCACCGGAUGUGCCCAGAUGGGAUUAGCUAGUAGGUGGGGUAACGGCUCACCUAGGCGACGAUCCCUAGCUGGUCUGAGAGGAUGACCAGCCACACUGGAACUGAGACACGGUCCAGACUCCUACGGGAGGCAGCAGUGGGGAAUAUUGCACAAUGGGCGCAAGCCUGAUGCAGCCAUGCCGCGUGUAUGAAGAAGGCCUUCGGGUUGUAAAGUACUUUCAGCGGGGAGGAAGGGAGUAAAGUUAAUACCUUUGCUCAUUGACGUUACCCGCAGAAGAAGCACCGGCUAACUCCGUG